RNAcentral lists this ribosomal RNA (473 nucleotides) under uncultured organism. RNAcentral describes it as "partial 16S ribosomal RNA". It matches the Rfam family "Bacterial small subunit ribosomal RNA", at positions 333 to 797 of the family's 1533-position model. The record is from RNAcentral.
ACACUCCUGCGGGAGGCAGCAGUGGGGAAUAUUGCACAAUGGGCGCAAGCCUGAUGCAGCCAUGCCGCGUGUGUGAAGAAGGCCUUCGGGUUGUAAAGCACUUUCAGCGGGGAGGAAGGCAAUGCGGUUAAUAACCGUGUUGAUUGACGUUACCCGCAGAAGAAGCACCGGCUAACUCCGUGCCAGCAGCCGCGGUAAUACGGAGGGUGCAAGCGUUAAUCGGAAUUACUGGGCGUAAAGCGCACGCAGGCGGUCUGUCAAGUCGGAUGUGAAAUCCCCGGGCUCAACCUGGGAACUGCAUUCGAAACUGGCAGGCUUGAGUCUUGUAGAGGGGGGUAGAAUUCCAGGUGUAGCGGUGAAAUGCGUAGAGAUCUGGAGGAAUACCGGUGGCGAAGGCGGCCCCCUGGACAAAGACUGACGCUCAGGUGCGAAAGCGUGGGGAGCAAACAGGAUUAGAAACCCUAGUAGUCCCA